UGAAUACUCCCUCCGUCCGAAAAUAGUUGUCAUCAAAAUGGAUGGAAAUAGAUGUAUCUAAAACUAAAAUACGUCUAGAUACAUCCUUUUUUAUUUAUUUUGAUGACAAGUAUUUCCGGACGAAGGGAGUAGUGA
Non-coding RNA from Triticum aestivum (bread wheat), 135 nucleotides. Lineage: Eukaryota; Viridiplantae; Streptophyta; Magnoliopsida; Poales; Poaceae. The record is from Rfam.